AACCCGGUAUUCAGCCAGACACGGUCUCCAUGCAUUUUAUGGAGGGAAACAGAUGGGUGAACAGAAUCCAACAGAUCGUAAGGCAGACAUCCGGACAACAAACUGGCAGCAAACAGAACUGGGCAGAACAGACAGGACAGGUUAAAAAUAGACAGGAUCAAGGUGCUGAGGGUUCUUACCAAAAGGGACCAGACUGAGGCAACAAAUGAAUGGAUGACAUGAAACAAACCGACGGGGAGCAGAGAACUAAAGCAGGCUUAAAUAGGCGGACAGACAGGAGGCGGAGCCCACUGAUUGUGCUCCACAACUGCUGCGUGCAGGUGUCAGCAGAGGCUGAUUGACACCAAAAAAAAAUGAGCCUGGAUGGAAGGACAGGGGAGCUGAUCCUGCAGGUGACAGAGACAGACACGCUGCCGAGCGAAGGGCAGGUGGGAUCCGCACGCCAGACACAGAAUACCGCGAGGUCUGCCCCUCUGCCCGCACCUCUGGAUCGGUCUGAAAAGCGGCGUGGCACGCCGAAGAGUGGAACAGUGCUGGAGUGCCGCAGAAUCAGCUGUUGAUCAGCAACAGUGUGCGCUGUAGACGGAUUGCCUCCACCAGAAGGAGCAUAGUAAGCGAAUGAUAAAUGGUGACUUUUAAAGGACAAUUAUUGAAUCUUGGACUUUUAAAAAAAGGGAAAGGGACUGUUUUAUCAUGCCACUAUUACAGUGGCUUUUGUUGUAAUAAAACAUCUUGGGCUUGA
Long non-coding RNA from Fundulus heteroclitus (mummichog), 742 nucleotides. RefSeq lists it as uncharacterized. The record is from RefSeq and is a predicted model, not a curated record. Lineage: Eukaryota; Metazoa; Chordata; Actinopteri; Cyprinodontiformes; Fundulidae. The transcript is spliced from 3 exons.